CAGAAAUGAGAAAAUCAUUUCCUUUCAAAAAUUAAUGUGAAAUUAAACAAGAGUAAUCCUCUUUCCAAAUAUUAUGCAAUAUUAAAAUAGAGAUAUAUCAUCUCAUUUCAAAUUUUGUAAUUUUGCAAAUAAAUUGUUGCUUUCAUAAUCAUGCGAGAAUAAUAGUUGGUGCAUGAUUUAUGAAUUUUGAAUUACUCUUUUGUGUAAAUAUGCAUUAUAUUCAAAAUCAUGCAUAUUUUCACAAAUUUUUUUAUUUCUAAAUAUUUAAAUAUUUUCUUCUCAAUUAUUGUUUCAAAACUAAGCAAUAUAAAUCUAAUUUUAGAAUAGAGGGC
RNAcentral lists this long non-coding RNA (332 nucleotides) under Elaeis guineensis (African oil palm). RNAcentral describes it as "long non-coding RNA (EGUI_LNC038571)". The record is from RNAcentral. Lineage: Eukaryota; Viridiplantae; Streptophyta; Magnoliopsida; Arecales; Arecaceae.